This 2549-nucleotide ribosomal RNA is filed under the name Escherichia coli. RNAcentral's name for it is "bacterial LSU rRNA". It matches the Rfam family "Bacterial large subunit ribosomal RNA", at positions 397 to 2925 of the family's 2925-position model. RNAcentral also lists the same sequence under 1 other name. The record is from RNAcentral. Lineage: Bacteria; Pseudomonadati; Pseudomonadota; Gammaproteobacteria; Enterobacterales; Enterobacteriaceae.
CUGUGAGCUCGAUGAGUAGGGCGGGACACGUGGUAUCCUGUCUGAAUAUGGGGGGACCAUCCUCCAAGGCUAAAUACUCCUGACUGACCGAUAGUGAACCAGUACCGUGAGGGAAAGGCGAAAAGAACCCCGGCGAGGGGAGUGAAAAAGAACCUGAAACCGUGUACGUACAAGCAGUGGGAGCACAGAGCAAUCUGUGUGACUGCGUACCUUUUGUAUAAUGGGUCAGCGACUUAUAUUCUGUAGCAAGGUUAACCGAAUAGGGGAGCCGAAGGGAAACCGAGUCUUAACCGGGCGUUAAGUUGCAGGGUAUAGACCCGAAACCCGGUGAUCUAGCCAUGGGCAGGUUGAAGGUUGGGUAACACUAACUGGAGGACCGAACCGACUAAUGUUGAAAAAUUAGCGGAUGACUUGUGGCUGGGGGUGAAAGGCCAAUCAAACCGGGAGAUAGCUGGUUCUCCCCGAAAGCUAUUUAGGUAGCGCCUCGUGAAUUCAUCUCCGGGGGUAGAGCACUGUUUCGGCAAGGGGGUCAUCCCGACUUACCAACCCGAUGCAAACUGCGAAUACCGGAGAAUGUUAUCACGGGAGACACACGGCGGGUGCUAACGUCCGUCGUGAAGAGGGAAACAACCCAGACCGCCAGCUAAGGUCCCAAAGUCAUGGUUAAGUGGGAAACGAUGUGGGAAGGCCCAGACAGCCAGGAUGUUGGCUUAGAAGCAGCCAUCAUUUAAAGAAAGCGUAAUAGCUCACUGGUCGAGUCGGCCUGCGCGGAAGAUGUAACGGGGCUAAACCAUGCACCGAAGCUGCGGCAGCGACACUGUGUGUUGUUGGGUAGGGGAGCGUUCUGUAAGCCUGUGAAGGUGUGCUGUGAGGCAUGCUGGAGGUAUCAGAAGUGCGAAUGCUGACAUAAGUAACGAUAAAGCGGGUGAAAAGCCCGCUCGCCGGAAGACCAAGGGUUCCUGUCCAACGUUAAUCGGGGCAGGGUGAGUCGACCCCUAAGGCGAGGCCGAAAGGCGUAGUCGAUGGGAAACAGGUUAAUAUUCCUGUACUUGGUGUUACUGCGAAGGGGGGACGGAGAAGGCUAUGUUGGCCGGGCGACGGUUGUCCCGGUUUAAGCGUGUAGGCUGGUUUUCCAGGCAAAUCCGGAAAAUCAAGGCUGAGGCGUGAUGACGAGGCACUACGGUGCUGAAGCAACAAAUGCCCUGCUUCCAGGAAAAGCCUCUAAGCAUCAGGUAACAUCAAAUCGUACCCCAAACCGACACAGGUGGUCAGGUAGAGAAUACCAAGGCGCUUGAGAGAACUCGGGUGAAGGAACUAGGCAAAAUGGUGCCGUAACUUCGGGAGAAGGCACGCUGAUAUGUAGGUGAAGUCCCUCGCGGAUGGAGCUGAAAUCAGUCGAAGAUACCAGCUGGCUGCAACUGUUUAUUAAAAACACAGCACUGUGCAAACACGAAAGUGGACGUAUACGGUGUGACGCCUGCCCGGUGCCGGAAGGUUAAUUGAUGGGGUCAGCGCAAGCGAAGCUCUUGAUCGAAGCCCCGGUAAACGGCGGCCGUAACUAUAACGGUCCUAAGGUAGCGAAAUUCCUUGUCGGGUAAGUUCCGACCUGCACGAAUGGCGUAAUGAUGGCCAGGCUGUCUCCACCCGAGACUCAGUGAAAUUGAACUCGCUGUGAAGAUGCAGUGUACCCGCGGCAAGACGGAAAGACCCCGUGAACCUUUACUAUAGCUUGACACUGAACAUUGAGCCUUGAUGUGUAGGAUAGGUGGGAGGCUUUGAAGUGUGGACGCCAGUCUGCAUGGAGCCGACCUUGAAAUACCACCCUUUAAUGUUUGAUGUUCUAACGUGGACCCGUGAUCCGGGUUGCGGACAGUGUCUGGUGGGUAGUUUGACUGGGGCGGUCUCCUCCUAAAGAGUAACGGAGGAGCACGAAGGUUGGCUAAUCCUGGUCGGACAUCAGGAGGUUAGUGCAAUGGCAUAAGCCAGCUUGACUGCGAGCGUGACGGCGCGAGCAGGUGCGAAAGCAGGUCAUAGUGAUCCGGUGGUUCUGAAUGGAAGGGCCAUCGCUCAACGGAUAAAAGGUACUCCGGGGAUAACAGGCUGAUACCGCCCAAGAGUUCAUAUCGACGGCGGUGUUUGGCACCUCGAUGUCGGCUCAUCACAUCCUGGGGCUGAAGUAGGUCCCAAGGGUAUGGCUGUUCGCCAUUUAAAGUGGUACGCGAGCUGGGUUUAGAACGUCGUGAGACAGUUCGGUCCCUAUCUGCCGUGGGCGCUGGAGAACUGAGGGGGGCUGCUCCUAGUACGAGAGGACCGGAGUGGACGCAUCACUGGUGUUCGGGUUGUCAUGCCAAUGGCACUGCCCGGUAGCUAAAUGCGGAAGAGAUAAGUGCUGAAAGCAUCUAAGCACGAAACUUGCCCCGAGAUGAGUUCUCCCUGACCCUUUAAGGGUCCUGAAGGAACGUUGAAGACGACGACGUUGAUAGGCCGGGUGUGUAAGCGCAGCGAUGCGUUGAGCUAACCGGUACUAAUGAACCGUGAGGCUUAACCUU